Molecule: long non-coding RNA, 235 nt
Filed under: Zonotrichia albicollis (white-throated sparrow)
Lineage: Eukaryota; Metazoa; Chordata; Aves; Passeriformes; Passerellidae
Description: lncRNA (ENSZALG00000007638.1)
Source: RNAcentral
GGCAUGUGGAGGAACCAAAGGAGAUUUGGGAGCACCAAGGUGGGACCUGGAAGUGGUGGGGGCACCAAGGUGGGACCUGGAGGACCUGGAGAACAUUGAGGGGCACCAAGGUGGGACCUGGUGGAGAUCUGAGGUCACCAAGGUGGGACCUGGAGAAGGUUUGGGGUCACCAAGGUGGGACCUGAUGGACAUUGGGGUCACCAAGGUGGGACCUGGAGAAGGUUUGCGGUCACCA